CCUACGGGGGGCAGCAGUGAGGAAUAUUGGUCAAUGGCCGGGAGGCUGAACCAGCCAAGUCGCGUGAGGGAAGACGGCCCUACGGGUUGUAAACCUCUUUUGUCAGGGAGCAAAGGGCGCCACGUGUGGCGCUUUGCGAGUACCUGAAGAAAAAGCAUCGGCUAACUCCGUGCCAGCAGCCGCGGUAAUACGGAGGAUGCGAGCGUUAUCCGGAUUUAUUGGGUUUAAAGGGUGCGCAGGCGGAAUGUCAAGUCAGCGGUAAAAUUUCGGGACUCAACCCCGUCGUGCCGUUGAAACUGGCGUUCUUGAGUGAGCGAGAAGUAUGCGGAAUGCGUGGUGUAGCGGUGAAAUGCAUAGAUAUCACGCAGAACUCCGAUUGCGAAGGCAGCAUACCGGCGCUCAACUGACGCUCAUGCACGAAAGCGUGGGUAUCGAACAGGAUUAGAUACCCGUGUAGUC
This 459-nucleotide ribosomal RNA is filed under the name uncultured bacterium. RNAcentral's name for it is "partial 16S ribosomal RNA". It matches the Rfam family "Bacterial small subunit ribosomal RNA", at positions 338 to 795 of the family's 1533-position model. The record is from RNAcentral.